GUCGUCUUACGGAGCCGGCUGCGCUGCGAAACGGUCCGUAUUCCAUGCCCACUUAGAGCACUGAACAUCCCACAUCUUGGUUUGACUUCCUGGUACAGGAUACUUGCACUUAGCAUGGAGUGAUGAAGCAGAGCAGUGUACUUUUAUUAAAUGUGCAGAUUUUAGCAGUAUAACAGCAGUUCAUUAAAAAAAACGUGUGCUGAAAAUAAAGUGUUCUUACCCACA
Molecule: long non-coding RNA, 225 nt
Filed under: Dermacentor andersoni
Lineage: Eukaryota; Metazoa; Arthropoda; Arachnida; Ixodida; Ixodidae
Description: uncharacterized LOC126547682
Source: RNAcentral